AGAGUUUGAUCCUGGCUCAGAUUGAACGCUGGCGGCAGGCCUAACACAUGCAAGUCGAGCGGUAGCACAGGGAGCUUGCUCCUGGGUGACGAGCGGCGGACGGGUGAGUAAUGUCUGGGAAACUGCCUGAUGGAGGGGGAUAACUACUGGAAACGGUAGCUAAUACCGCAUAACGUCUACGGACCAAAGUGGGGGACCUUCGGGCCUCAUGCCAUCAGAUGUGCCCAGAUGGGAUUAGCUAGUAGGUGGGGUAAUGGCUCACCUAGGCGACGAUCCCUAGCUGGUCUGAGAGGAUGACCAGCCACACUGGAACUGAGACACGGUCCAGACUCCUACGGGAGGCAGCAGUGGGGAAUAUUGCACAAUGGGCGCAAGCCUGAUGCAGCCAUGCCGCGUGUGUGAAGAAGGCCUUCGGGUUGUAAAGCACUUUCAGCGAGGAGGAAGGGUUCAGUGUUAAUAGCACUGUGCAUUGACGUUACUCGCAGAAGAAGCACCGGCUAACUCCGUGCCAGCAGCCGCGGUAAUACGGAGGGUGCAAGCGUUAAUCGGAAUUACUGGGCGUAAAGCGCACGCAUGCGGUUUGUUAAGUCAGAUGUGAAAUCCCCGCGCGUAACGUGGGAACUGCAUUUGAAACUGGCAAGCUAGACUCUUGUAGAGGGGCUUAGAAUUCCAG
RNAcentral lists this ribosomal RNA (673 nucleotides) under Serratia sp. CJB2. RNAcentral describes it as "bacterial SSU rRNA". It matches the Rfam family "Bacterial small subunit ribosomal RNA", at positions 8 to 672 of the family's 1533-position model. Lineage: Bacteria; Pseudomonadati; Pseudomonadota; Gammaproteobacteria; Enterobacterales; Yersiniaceae. The record is from RNAcentral.